AAUUCUUAUUAAACUACUUCUUG
This 23-nucleotide non-coding RNA is filed under the name Cricetulus griseus (Chinese hamster). The record is from RNAcentral. Lineage: Eukaryota; Metazoa; Chordata; Mammalia; Rodentia; Cricetidae.